This 443-nucleotide ribosomal RNA is filed under the name uncultured bacterium. RNAcentral's name for it is "partial 16S ribosomal RNA". It matches the Rfam family "Bacterial small subunit ribosomal RNA", at positions 338 to 795 of the family's 1533-position model. The record is from RNAcentral.
CCUACGGGAGGCAGCAGUGGGGAAUAUUGGGCAAUGGGCGCAAGCCUGACCCAGCAACGCCGCGUGAAGGAAGAAGGCUUUCGGGUUGUAAACUUCUUUUCUCAGGGACGAAGCAAGUGACGGUACCUGAGGAAUAAGCCACGGCUAACUACGUGCCAGCAGCCGCGGGAAUACGUGGGUGGCAAGCGUUAUCCGGAUUUACUGGGUGUAAAGGGCGUGUAGGCGGGAAAGCAAGUCAGAUGUGAAAACCAUGGGCGCAACCUGUGGCCUGCAUUUGAAACUGAUUUUCUUGAGUACUGGAGAGGCAGACGGAAUGCCUAGUGUAGCGGUGAAAUGCGUAGAUAUUAGGAGGAACACCAGUGGCGAAGGCGGUCUGCUGGACAGCAACUGACGCUGAGGCGCGAAAGCGUGGGGAGCGAACAGGAUUAGAUACCCCUGUAGUC